GGUCCCAGUCCACCCCAGUCCAUCCCAGUCCGGUCUCAGUCCACCCCAGUCCAGUCCCUGUCUGCCCCGACCUGUCCCGGUCAGGUCCCAGUCCACCCCAGUCCAGUCCCUGUCCGCUCCGACCCGUCCCGGUGGGUCCCAGUCCACCCCAGUCAGGUCCUAGUCCAUCCCAGUCCAUCCCAGUCCCUCCCAGUCUGGUCCCUGUCUGCCCUGACCCAUCCCAGUCCGGUCUCAGUCCACCCCAGUCCAGUCCCUGUCCGCUCCGACCCGUCCCAGCGGGUCCCAGUCCACCCCAGUCCACCCCAGUCAGGUCCUAGUCCAUCCCAGUCCAUCCCAGUCCCUCCCAGUCUGGUCCCUGUCUGCCCUGACCCAUCCCAGUCAGGUCCUAGUCCACCCCAGUCCAUCCCAGUCCUAUCCCAGUGUAUCCCGAUCCAUCCCAGUCCAGUCCUAGGGUAUCCCAGUGUAUCCCAGUCCAUCUCCAUCCCUUCCAGUCCAUUCCAGUCCGCUCCCAGUACACCCUAGUCCAUCCCAGUCCAGUCCCAAUGUACCCUAGUUCAUCUCUGUCCGUCCCAGCCCGCCCCAGUCCGCUCUCAGUCCUCCCCAGUGCGCCCAGUUACCGAAGCGCUCCCAGUCCGAGUGGCUCAACGCGUCCAUGAGGCGGCAGAAGCUGCACAUGAGCCAGGCGGGCAGCUCGUACAGGAAGGGCCCGAGCCCCGGCCCCGGCCCC
This 727-nucleotide long non-coding RNA is filed under the name Struthio camelus australis. RNAcentral describes it as "lncRNA (ENSSCUG00000018073.1)". Lineage: Eukaryota; Metazoa; Chordata; Aves; Struthioniformes; Struthionidae. The record is from RNAcentral.